UCGGGAAUAUUGCGCAAUGGAGGAAACUCUGACGCAGUGACGCCGCGUGCAGGAAGAAGGUUUUCGGAUUGUAAACUGCUUUAGACAGGGAAGAAAAAAGACAGUACCUGUAGAAUAAGCUCCGGCUAACUACGUGCCAGCAGCCGCGGUAAUACGUAGGGAGCAAGCGUUAUCCGGAUUUAUUGGGUGUAAAGGGUGCGUAGACGGGAAAGCAAGUUAGCUGUGAAAUCCCUCGGCUCAACCGAGGAACUGCAACUAAAACUACUAUUCUUGAGUGCUGGAGGGGAAAGUGGAAUUCCUAGUGUAGCGGUGAAAUGCGUAGAUAUUAGGAGGAACACCAGUGGCGAAGGCGACUUUCUGGACAGUAACUGACGUUGAGGCACGAAAGUGUGGGGAGCAAACAGGAUUAGAUACCCUGGUAGUCCACACCGUAAACGAUGGAUACUAGGUGUAGGGAAUAUUAAGUUCUCUGUGCCGUCGCAAACGCAGUAAGUAUCCCACCUGGGGAGUACGACCGCAAGGUUGAAACUCAAAGGAAUUGACGGGGGCCCGCACAAGCAGUGGAGUAUGUGGUUUAAUUCGACGCAACGCGAAGAACCUUACCAGGGCUUGACAUAUAAGUGAAUAAUUAAGAGAUUAGUUAGCUCUUCGGAGCACUUAUACAGGUGGUGCAUGGUUGUCGUCAGCUCGUGUCGUGAGAUGUUGGGUUAAGUCCCGCAACGAGCGCAACCCCUGUUUCCAGUUGCCAGCACAUAAAGGUGGGGACUCUGGAGAGACUGCCGGUGAUAAAUCGGAGGAAGGUGGGGACGACGUCAAAUCAUCAUGCCCUUUAUGUCCUGGGCUACACACGUACUACAAUGGCUAUAACAAAGAGAAGCGAGACCGCGAGGUGGAGCAAAACUCAAAAAAGUAGUCUCAGUUCGGAUUGUAGACUGAAAUUCGUCUACAUGAAGCUGGAAUUGCUAGUAAUGGCAGGUCAGCAUACUGCCGUGAAUACGUUCCC
RNAcentral lists this ribosomal RNA (1003 nucleotides) under uncultured bacterium. RNAcentral's name for it is "bacterial SSU rRNA". It matches the Rfam family "Bacterial small subunit ribosomal RNA", at positions 355 to 1375 of the family's 1533-position model. The record is from RNAcentral. RNAcentral also lists the same sequence under 1 other name.